GUGCUCACUUUGGCAGCACAUAUACGAAGAUUGGGAUGAUAAGAGAAGAUUAGCAUGCCCCCCGCCCCUGUGCAAGGGUGACACACAGACUUGUGAAGCAUUCCAUAUUUAA
Small nuclear RNA from Zalophus californianus (California sea lion), 112 nucleotides. The record is from Ensembl. Lineage: Eukaryota; Metazoa; Chordata; Mammalia; Carnivora; Otariidae.